CCACCGAUAGCUCAGGGGUAGAGCGGAGGACUGUAGUGUGUGCAUGUUAUCCUUAGGUCGCUGGUUCAAAUCCGGCUCGGUGGA
RNAcentral lists this transfer RNA (84 nucleotides) under Amphimedon queenslandica. It matches the Rfam family "tRNA". Rfam says of the family: Transfer RNA (tRNA) molecules are approximately 80 nucleotides in length. The record is from Rfam by way of RNAcentral. Lineage: Eukaryota; Metazoa; Porifera; Demospongiae; Haplosclerida; Niphatidae.